RNAcentral lists this ribosomal RNA (406 nucleotides) under uncultured bacterium. RNAcentral describes it as "partial 16S ribosomal RNA". It matches the Rfam family "Bacterial small subunit ribosomal RNA", at positions 30 to 526 of the family's 1533-position model. The record is from RNAcentral.
AUUGAACGCUGGCGGCAGGCCUAACACAUGCAAGUCGAGCGCGCGGCGGACGGGUGUGUAAUGUCUGGGAGACUGCCUGAUGGGGGGGGAUAACUACUGUAAACGGUAGCUAAUACCGCAUACCCUCAGAUAUGCCCCGAUGGGAUUAGCUCGUGGGUGGGGUAACGGCUCACCUAGGCGACGAUCCCUAGCUGGUCUGAGAGGAUGACCAGCCACACUGGAACUGAGACACGGUCCAGACUCCUACGGGAGGCAGCAGUGGGGAAUAUUGCACAAUGGGCGCAAGCCUGAUGCAGCCAUGCCGCGUGUGUGAAGAAGGCCUUCGGGUUGUAAAGUACUUUCAGCGGGGAGGCGUUACCCGCAGAAGAAGCACCGGCUAACUCCGUGCCAGCAGCCGCGGUAAUUC